UACGAGGGGGGCGAGCGUUGUUCGGAAUUAUUGGGCGUAAAGGGUGCGUAGGCGGUUCCGCAAGUCCUGUGUGAAAUCUUCGGGCUCAACUCGAAGUCUGCACGGGAAACUGCGGGGCUUGAGUGUGGGAGAGGUGAGUGGAAUUCCCGGUGUAGCGGUGAAAAUGCGUAGAUAUCGGGAGGAACACCUGUGGCGAAAGCGGCUCACUGGACCAUAACUGACGCUGAUGCACGAAAGCUGGGGGGAGCAAACAGG
Molecule: ribosomal RNA, 255 nt
Filed under: uncultured bacterium
Lineage: Bacteria
Description: partial 16S ribosomal RNA
Rfam family: Bacterial small subunit ribosomal RNA
Source: RNAcentral